Molecule: transfer RNA, 75 nt
Filed under: Actinomycetota bacterium
Lineage: Bacteria; Bacillati; Actinomycetota
Description: tRNA-Thr
Rfam family: tRNA
About the family: Transfer RNA (tRNA) molecules are approximately 80 nucleotides in length. Their secondary structure includes four short double-helical elements and three loops (D, anti-codon, and T loops).
Source: RNAcentral
GCCGAGGUAGCUCAGUGGUAGAGCAGCUCACUCGUAAUGAGCAGGCCGAGGGUUCAAUUCCCUCCUUCGGCUCAA